Molecule: non-coding RNA, 65 nt
Organism: Dipodomys ordii (Ord's kangaroo rat)
Lineage: Eukaryota; Metazoa; Chordata; Mammalia; Rodentia; Heteromyidae
Source: Rfam
GGUGGCUCAGGGGUAGAGCACUUGCCUUGCAUGCAUGAGGCCCUGGGUUCGAUUCCUCAGCACCA